CUGCCCUCAAGCACGGCUUGUGUGUUGGGCCUUCGUCCCCCCGGGGACGGGUCCGAAAGGCAGCGGCGGCACCGCGUCCGGUCCUCGAGCGUAUGGGGCUUCGUCACCCGCUCUGUAGGCCCGGCCGGCGCUGGCCGACGACCCAUCAAUCUUUUUUCCA
RNAcentral lists this unclassified non-coding RNA (160 nucleotides) under uncultured Penicillium. Its description in RNAcentral is "sequence contains ITS2". The record is from RNAcentral. Lineage: Eukaryota; Fungi; Ascomycota; Eurotiomycetes; Eurotiales; Aspergillaceae.